Molecule: long non-coding RNA, 955 nt
Filed under: Equus caballus (horse)
Lineage: Eukaryota; Metazoa; Chordata; Mammalia; Perissodactyla; Equidae
Description: lncRNA (ENSECAG00000054671.1)
Source: RNAcentral
GGAUACAUGGAGACCUCAGACCUCUAGGAGCAUUUAACCUACAGUUAAAGGAGCUCUGAAAAUUUCUGCAGUUACUUCCUCCACUGAAGUCUGGAACCCCUCAAAGUCAUCCAUGAGGGUUGGAAUGAACUUCUGCCAAACUGCUGUUAAUGUUGCUAUUUUGACCUCUUAUCAUGAAUCAUGAAUGUUCUUAAUGGCAUCUAGAAUGAUGAAUCCUUUCCAGAAGACUCAGAAACAAAAAAGGAUUACCAAAGAAUCUAACAAGUUAACAAUAAUGUGUGGACUUGAGGCGCUCUCUUCUUUAAGGUCACUGCUAAACCAGAUGUGUGCUAUCACCAGAGACUUUAUUCUGUUCUAUAAUCCUAUUGGAAAACUUUUGGAUCUGUUCCUUAUCACAUUCUGGAAGGAAUUCCAGGAAACAUCUUUGAAACAGGGGAAAAAUGACAAAAGCAGAUAAAGAAUCUCAUGAGAGCAUUUUAGCGAAAAAAUAAAGAGAAAAUCCCACAUAUUUUGAGUAGUCUAAAAUAUCUUGAUUUUAGUUUGGGAUUUUUACUACGAUUGAGCAAUAGUACUAAUAAAACCAAUCUGCUGUACUUCGUUUGAUCCUUGCAAGAGAGAGGAGGUUAUUCGCCUAAUUUACAGACGUAUUAACUGAUGCUCACAGAAUGUGUUUCACUCAAAGCAGGUGAGGUUAAGUAUUCUGACUUUCUAAGCUAUUUCCACGUCACUAAUCUGCUUUAUAUAUAGUAAAACUAAAUUAUCUUUUUUAACACGAAGUAGAAUAUUAUGAAUUAAAUUAUGAGGCAAGACAAUAACCAAACCACAAAUCAGCACUAAAUGUUUGUGUCUUAGGUUGAUUGAAUUAUGUGAUCCUAAAAAUGCUCAGUUUAAUAUAAUGUGCCACCUAAUAAAACUUUUUAAAUUGAGGCUAAUGCAAAGAGAAAGCUUUAUUAAA